This 484-nucleotide ribosomal RNA is filed under the name uncultured bacterium. RNAcentral describes it as "partial 16S ribosomal RNA". It matches the Rfam family "Bacterial small subunit ribosomal RNA", at positions 29 to 507 of the family's 1533-position model. The record is from RNAcentral.
AUUGAACGCUGGCGGCAUGCUUUACACAUGCAAGUCGAACGGCAGCGCGGGCUUCGGCCUGGCGGCGAGUUGCGAACGGGUGAGUAAUACAUCGGAACGUGCCCAGUAGUGGGGGAUAGCUCGGCGAAAGCCGGAUUAAUACCGCAUACGACCUGAGGGUGAAAGCGGGGGAUCUUCGGACCUCGCGCCAUUGGAGCGGUCGAUGGCAGAUUAGCUAGUUGGUGGGGUAAAGGCCUACCAAGGCGACGAUCUGUAGCUGGUCUGAGAGGACGACCAGCCACACUGGGACUGAGACACGGCCCAGACUCCUACGGGAGGCAGCAGUGGGGAAUUUUGGACAAUGGGCGAAAGCCUGAUCCAGCAAUGCCGCGUGUGUGAUGAAGGCCUUCGGGUUGUAAAGCACUUUUGGCGGGAAAGAAAAGGACUGUGACAAUACCACGGUUCGAUGACGGUACCCGCAGAAUAAGCACCGGCUAACUACGUG